GCCUUUUAUGACCUAGCCCCGGAAGUUGUGCUCCAUUGUCCUGCAAUAUCCUCUUGGUUACAUAGGCCAACCCUGUUCAGCAUGGGAGGAAACUCUGCGAGGGUGUGCAUACCAGGGUCUCACUCUGUCACCCAGGCUGGAGUGCAGUGGCACAAUCAGGGCUCAUUGCAGCUUCGACCUCCUAUGGCUCAGGUGAUCCUCCCAGCAGAACCUCCUGGGUAGCUGGCACUACAGAUUGUUAUUUACAUCUUUGAUCAUCAUUGAUCAUUUCACCUGCUUGUAUAUUCUCUGUUAACUGGAUGCCGGACUCAGUAAUAGCAGUCUUUAUUUUAGCUUGAACUUGAAGUCAACAUCUUUUUUUCUGGGGCUCAAAGGAGUUGCAGAGACCCUAGAGGUGUUUCCUUGCAGAGGACUUGAGAGGUGCCUCAGAUAAUUCUUGUGACGGGUCAAUAUGGGAAAAUGGCACUUUAGAUCUAUGCUGCCCAGAGUGAGGUCCAUGAAUCAGAAGCUUCGGCAUCACCUGUGCUUAGCAACCAAACGGCUCAAAGAGGACAGCCUGACUGAUUUGUUUGUAGGAGAUAGGAACUGAUUUCGUGCAAGACAUCCCAGAAGUGGGGCUUAAGGUAAGCUGGAGGGCUUGGCAAAGGAAGGUGUGAGGCAAUGUUUCCAUUAGGGAUGACUGGAAAAGAAAGAGGCUAGAAAGGAAAUAUCCAGGGGCAUGUUGUGGGACUGCCAAGAAGAACAUGACCUACCAAUAAGAGCUUUGUUAUCGGAGCCUCUAAGUCCCUUCUUGAAAAGUGAUACUUUUCCUGAGGUGGAUUGGACUCAGGAAGAAAGAGAUGUGGGAACCUGGAUGGGUUCCAUUCCGAGGGCAAGUGAUACCAGACUAUAAGCUCUGCCGCCAGUACCCUCAGAGGUAAGGUAUUGCAUUUUCCCCUGGACUAAAUUACAGAUGUACAGACCUGAUUGGCAAUUGGAGGUGCAACAGACCAACCACCACAAACCCAGCAAAUCACUUCCACGGAGCCUUUACUCAUGCCUGGGAUUUGUCCUUGCUUCCCUCUCUUCUUCCUCCACCUUUUUUCCCACGUGUUGAAAUUCUGCAUUACUUUAAAGGUCAAGCCACAAAUACUGCCUUCUUUGAGGAUCUUCCUUGAUCCUCUUAAGUUGGGACUACUUGCCCCUCCUCACUGCUUUCCUAGCAGCGUGUUUACUCUUGUUGUCAAAUCAUGCCUUGCAUUGGCAUAGCAUGCCUUUUAGUGUAGCGAGCUGGAUAGACACUGGUCUUCUCUGCUAUUGUGUAUGCUCUUUGAGGGCAGGGACUAAAUCUUGUCCCUAGAUCAUGACUCAAUGCCUUGCCCAAAUAUAAAGUCAACAAAUAUUUGUGGAGUGGAAUUAAAGAGGUUCAUCUGCAUGCCACAGAUGCAUUUAUAUAGUGAAGACUAUGGGAUGAGGUAGGAGGCACACCUGGGAAAGGGAGGGAAGGAGGUGGAUAUGAUGCAGUACAUAACAGAUCCAAGAUCACCAGAAAGAAGAGUCAGCUACAUCCUUUACCCUUUUUCCUCUAAAGUUAAUUUAUGAACUGAUCUGAAGUCAGUAAUGAUACUUAACGACACGGAAGAUUAAAGGGAGAGAGCACAACGCUGCUGGAAGAAUGUCGGAUUAGGAUCCUGAAUGUCUGCUCAUCUGGCUUUAAGAAGGCCAUUUAACUUCCACGCACCUUAGGCUCUUCACCUAUAAAAUAGAGAUAAAAUAUUGGUCCUCCCUCUCCCCUGGUUUGCUGUAAAGAUGCAUGAGGUCACUGUGAAAAUGAUCUGUAAGCUUUAAGGAUUCUCUUUAUGGCCUUUGGGCAUCAUUGGCACACCUAGGAGCUGGUUAGAAAUGCAGACUCUCAGGCCCCACCCUAGACCUACUGAAUCAGGAUCUACAUUUUAACAAUGUCUUCAGGCAAUUUGCAUGCACAUCAUUGGUUUCAGAAGUACUACUCUAAAGGACUAUAUAAUAAAAGUUGCAAUUGUUGUUAAUAAGGUCCACGUGUGUUGGCAAAACUGAACAUAAGCUCUCACCCCAAAGGACUCCGCGAUGGAGGGGCAGCAGGCAGACAGGUGGAGUUAUAGCUGGAUUGGAGGGGUCACAUUCAUCUUUGGGCAGUAAGAGACCUGAGAAGAGGCUACAGGAAUAUUAGUAAUUGUCAUGAGAACUGCUAUAUAUUAAGUGCUUGCUGUGUGCUGAGCACCCUGCAGGGCUUUUUACCCUCACAGAUAUGAUCCCAUAUAAUCCAUACUUUACAGUUAUCCUGUUUCGUAAGCACAGAAGCUGAGAUUAUGAAAUUGAUCCAAGGUCACACAGCUUGUGGAGCUGAGAUUGGAACUCAGGUUGAUGAUGGCAGAGAAUCCUACUGACAAGAGUGCAAGAAGCAGGGAUUUCUGAAAACGUACUGUGGACAUCUAAUUUUUGAUACCAUAAAAACAGAUACAAUAAAAUUCAGAGGGACUGGUUAGGAUACAAACAAGACUUUCCCUCCUUAUAAUUUAUUUCUGCAUGUGAUAAUAUUUCAUAGCACAAGUCAAUACUUUGGAUUGUAACUAGAAUACUCUUUAAGCCUUAUCCUCAAUUUUUGUAAUUGAAAAAUAAAGCCAAAAAAGCU
Molecule: long non-coding RNA, 2647 nt
Organism: Pan troglodytes (chimpanzee)
Lineage: Eukaryota; Metazoa; Chordata; Mammalia; Primates; Hominidae
Exons: 6
Source: RefSeq, a predicted model, not a curated record